This 65-nucleotide transfer RNA is filed under the name Dipodomys ordii (Ord's kangaroo rat). It matches the Rfam family "tRNA". From Rfam's summary of the family: Transfer RNA (tRNA) molecules are approximately 80 nucleotides in length. Their secondary structure includes four short double-helical elements and three loops (D, anti-codon, and T loops). Lineage: Eukaryota; Metazoa; Chordata; Mammalia; Rodentia; Heteromyidae. The record is from Rfam by way of RNAcentral.
GGUGGCUCAGUGGUAGAGUGCUUGCCUUGCAAGCAUGAGACCCUGGGUUCGAUUCCUCAGUACCA